CUACGUAGGUGACAAGCGUUAUCCGGAUUUACUGGGCGUAAAGGGCGUGUAGGCGAUCUUGCAAGUCAGAAGUGAAAUUCCUGAGCUCAACUCGGGCGCUGCCCUUGAAACUGAUAGACUUGAAUAUGAGAGGGGCUGAUAGAAUUCCUGGUGUAGCGGUAAAAUGCGUAGAUAUCAGGAGGAAUACCGGUGGCGAAGGCGGUCAUCUGGCUCAUUAUUGACGCUGAAGCACGAAAGCGUAGGUAGCGAACAGGAUUAGAUACCCUGGUAGUCUACGCUGUAAACGAUGUAUGCUUGGUGUUAUGCGUUUAUGCGCGUAGUGCCGUAGGAAAUCUGGUAAGCAUACCACCUGGGGAGUACGAAUGCAAGUUUGAAACUCAAAGGAAUUGACGGGG
RNAcentral lists this ribosomal RNA (395 nucleotides) under uncultured bacterium. RNAcentral describes it as "partial 16S ribosomal RNA". It matches the Rfam family "Bacterial small subunit ribosomal RNA", at positions 523 to 918 of the family's 1533-position model. The record is from RNAcentral.